CGGACGGGUGAGUAAUGUCUGGGAAACUGCCUGAUGGAGGGGGAUAACUACUGGAAACGGUAGCUAAUACCGCAUAACGUCGCAAGACCAAAGAGGGGGACCUUCGGGCCUCUUGCCAUCAGAUGUGCCCAGAUGGGAUUAGGCUAGUAGGUGGGGUAACGGCUCACCUAGGCGACGAUCCCUAGCUGGUCUGAGAGGAUGACCAGCCACACUGGAACUGAGACACGGUCCAGACUCCUACGGGAGGCAGCAUG
Molecule: ribosomal RNA, 254 nt
Filed under: uncultured bacterium
Lineage: Bacteria
Description: partial 16S ribosomal RNA
Rfam family: Bacterial small subunit ribosomal RNA
Source: RNAcentral